RNA transcript from Panicum virgatum (switchgrass), 2934 nucleotides. RefSeq lists it as uncharacterized. The transcript has 4 exons. The record is from RefSeq and is a predicted model, not a curated record. NCBI's taxonomy places the organism in Eukaryota, Viridiplantae, Streptophyta, Magnoliopsida, Poales, Poaceae.
CGGUGGUACGUGCACACCAGUCAAUGCUAGUUCCAGGAUUUGCGUCCCCAGUGGUCUCCCUCUCUCUCUCUCGCCUACCCGUGAAGUCACCGCUCGCCGUAUCAAAAGCGAAGCAGCCCCAGAAAAAUGUCCAGGAAAGUUUCCGAUCGCGAGGACGAUGACGACGAGCAGGAGGUAUCGAGGAUGGGGGAGCCUCCCCAGCUGGUCCGCGGCCGGCCGUUAGGCGUUAGCCCGCGAUCCCGCCAAGGAUUUGCCCCUAAAUAUUUGAAUUGGCACUUCGAUUCUGGCGUGCAUCAUAAAUGAUCAAUAUGGGGACAUUUGAUAGAUUCCUUGGAGUGCUAAAUGCUGCACCGGGGUUUGUACCAAAUCAUUUAAGAGCUUGGCAGACGUAGCAAUGGGUAUCUAUUCUUCACCAUUCAGGCAUAACUUCAUGCUUCUAUUGGUACGAGACAGCUUCAUGGUUUUUAUGCGUUUAACUGAGGUUGUGUGGAAUGGAUUAGCCAAUGGUCAAUGGUUUUGAUGGCUCAUGUUCUAAUUGUGGCUAAUUCAAUGGAUGUGAUGAAAUGGAAAUGUGGAUAGUAGUAAUUACUUAGCUGUUGUAUAUUUUUCUAAAACCUUCAUUAAAAUUGGUGCACAUAUGGUCCUUUUCAAUACUUGCUACGCAUACCAUCGGUCCUAUUUUAUUACACACUGAACUUAAGCAGUCAUAACAGCUGUAGAGUUCUUCCUAGACUAGUCUUUAGUGGUGAUGACAGACUUAUCGUCCAAUGUAGUUCGACACCAUCAGCAUAAAACACAGUUUAGAAUGCCACAAAUUUGGUGACAGCCAUGGAUGAUGAGUGUCUGAUACCAGUGGCGGAGCUAAUGCUUGCUGUCGGGGUCCGCCGACCCUGACGAAAUUCCUAUAAUCCUUUGUAAAGUUACUGUUUAUUACUGUUUUUAGUGUUGAUGACCCCGUCCUAAAAUGAUGAUGACCCCGGUGGCCGUAAUUUCUGGCUUCGCCCCUGAACCAUGUAGAGAAUUGGGAAAACACCACACACCCUAAGGAGGGGGGGUUGACCUCUAUUAUAUAUUGCCGUAUAGGCUUGGAGUACAAGUAAACUCAAUACAAGUAAAUACAACAAUAUACCUCUAAUAGAUGGGAACUUUCUUUGAGUACACUGUAUCUAGCAAUAGAAUGGACUUGCUUUUCCUUUCCUGCUUCCCGGAGUUCACAAAUAAAUGGAGUGUAGAAACUAUUUACCUGGAAAGUUAAUCAGCUUUGGUCUUGCAAAUAUUUAAUUGCUGUUUGAUCACUGUUAAGGCAUUACUGUUGAUUUUCACAAUUCAGACGGAAAGGAAGAUAUGAGAAACAUUUUUGAGAACUGGGAAAAUGUUAUGAAAGUAAAAAAGCUUGUUACAACAAUGUUCUUUGGGUGUUAAGGACAGCUAUUUCUGCUAUUAAACAUGAUUACAAGAAGACAAGAAGUUGACAUCUCAGCAUAAUCCAUAUAAGAAGUUUGAAAAUAAACCGAAAGUGGUUUCAUCAAAUUGUUGUUGGUUAUGAUGUAACCAAGAGCAUGGAACAUAAACAUUUUCUUUGAUUUACAGUUCUGUGGAUCCUUUCUUUGCGUCUGUAGCACUUAUAAGCACUAUAGUGCCCCUUCAUCAGGAUCUUGAGGUUAACUGAUUGUACCCAUUACCUAACAUUUUGUAAGCAGAUAGUCCCCACACAAAAGGUCAGAAGUAAGGACCAUAAGGUGCAUUCCCUAAAAUAUGCAAGCUUUCAAGUAACUUUAAAAACUGUGAUGGGUUUUGCAGACUUGUGCACUUUUAUAAUAGUUUCUGAAUUGAUAGUAAGUUUAUUUUCAUCAUUUCGAGAACUUUUCAUUCUAAAGGAGGCAUACUUUGUCCUUUUCCCUUUUCCUUGUUGCCAUGCUAGCUACCACCUAUUAUUUUCAGCGUAGUGACUCGAUGGACAAUGAAAUGUAAGAUAGGACCAUUGGUGCCUAGAAUAAGAUUUACUUUGCCCAUUCUAAUUAUGAACUGUCACUCAGUUGCAAUUCUGAGGAUUGACUACCAAUUAAUUUUCUUCCAGACUUGGAACUAUAGGAGCCAAGCAACAGUCUAAUUAGCCAUUUUGAUGUAUCAUUAUCCAUUUAUUUUGUUUAUUUGGCACAGCGAAAUCUUAUGCAAUCAAGUAUUUACAUCGCAGAUCUAAUUCAUUCACAACUUAGUGUUUGUGAUGAAUAUUUGGUGAACCACAUUGUAUCGUACUCGCCUCUUGAUUUUCCAGAAGAAUGGUUGAAGCUACAGUUGCUUUGUCAUUUCAGAAACCAACAAGCAGCUCAUGCCAAAGUAUGCAAGGCAUCCUAGGUGGAAGGUUCGCGGAGUCGUGCUGUCAAGUUCUUUGUGUCUGGAGUCUGUGGACGGGACUAGUGAGCUAUUACAAGGACUUGUGCAGGCCCAUAUACGAUCAUAAUACAGAUACAGUGAACCAUAGCUUGCCCCACCGAAGUGCCAAUCCCCACAAAGCCGUUGUGGCUGCUUCACUCAUCACAAUCAGGCACGAUCGUAUUCUUCCUCCCGUCUUUAUCACCCCACCCUCUUCCUAUGCAAUAGCUAGUUUCUGCAAGGUAAUGGAGAAGAUGAUAGUGACAUUGGAGUGGGAAGUAGUUGUGGAGAUCACUGCUAUUGCAAACUGCAGCUUAAUGCUUGCUUGAUACAACCACUUGGCAUUGUGAUCGCCACAGCCUUUCUGUCCUCAUGGCCAUCUUCUUUGCUUAAAUACAUGGGGGAAGUUCAGGUUCCAAUCCGAUUGAUAAGGUUUUCUUUUAGGGUUAAUUAGAUCUAUGCCAUUGUAACUUUGUUGUUUUUAAACCGCACCAUUACUAUUCGCAAAACUAUGCCACUGCCAUUACAAUUCAUCUGAUGUUUGGAAUACGCCAUUAUGUA